CUGCAGCCCGAGUGGUGAUCGAUUUUAUUGAGCCUAAGGCGUCCGUAGCCGGACUAGUAAACCCUUGGGUAAAUUGGGCAGCUUAACUGUCCAAAUUCCGAGGGGACUGCUAGUCUUGGGACCGGGAGAGGUCAGAGGUACUCCAGGGGUAGGGGCUAAAUCCUGUAAUCCUUGGGGGACCACCAGUGGCGAAGGCGUCUGACUAGAACGGAUCCGACGGUAAGGGACGAAACCCUGGGGCGCGAACCGGAUUAGAUACCCGAGUAGUCC
RNAcentral lists this ribosomal RNA (270 nucleotides) under uncultured archaeon. RNAcentral's name for it is "partial 16S ribosomal RNA". It matches the Rfam family "Archaeal small subunit ribosomal RNA", at positions 477 to 747 of the family's 1478-position model. The record is from RNAcentral.